Long non-coding RNA from Poecilia latipinna (sailfin molly), 882 nucleotides. RefSeq lists it as uncharacterized. The record is from RefSeq and is a predicted model, not a curated record. The transcript is spliced from 3 exons. Lineage: Eukaryota; Metazoa; Chordata; Actinopteri; Cyprinodontiformes; Poeciliidae.
ACAAUUAUCACCUUAACCAUAAAAAGAUAAGCCUGUUUGUAGAGGAGGAUUCAAAUACAGAGGAGAAACAGAUACAAUCAUGUUUCAUGAAGCAACUUUGCCCAAUAAAAUGCAUUGAGGUUUAUAAUAAGAUAACAAUCUGCAACAAAAGUACUUUCACAAAGCACAGAACAAAUCAGACCUCUGUUAACGUAAAACUUGUUCUGUGUAAUAAGUCCAAGUACAAAACAAAUGGACUUUGAACCUGUCACUGUUAAAAUAUAAUCUUGUACCAAGUCUUUACAGCAUAACACAAUUCAAAGAAUGUAAGUAUUUUUUCCUUCUCAGACAUUUUUGUGGUUUUUAGCAUUAACUAUGCUGAGAAGGGAGUAAGGCGGUUCUCUUUGAAUGUAUAUCUUUCACUUAUUACCUCCGUGGCAGCUAAUAUUCAUUAGACUGUAACAGCAGAGCUGGCCAAGACUGUUUUCUUUGUUUCUCAAAAUUAGAUGUACAAGUCAAGCUGAAUCGCUUCUUCAGUCCGAGAAAGCUUCAUUUUAUCAAGGAUUUCUAAACUCAAGCUGAUAUCAAUGCUUCCAAACUCUGAGAACAUGUCAGAGGUAGAGUUGGUGGAGGUUGCUAAACCCGAAGAUAAUGAGAAAAACGAAAGAUGUUCUCAGACCUUAGAUGAAGUAGGAUCAAUUAGGAAUGGAUUUAAUAUUUGGAUUUUCCUCAAGAGGAAUGCCUUCGUCCUUCUCACAAUGGCUGCUGUUGCUUUCGGGAUUGGACUGGGCUUUGCUCUGCGACACAUUAACAUGUCUGAGAGAGAAAUAACAUAUUUAACUUUUCCUGGAGAGCUGCUGCUGAGAAUGCUGCAGAUGAUGGUGCUUCCUCUUGUCGUUUUGA